This 69-nucleotide transfer RNA is filed under the name Rattus norvegicus (Norway rat). It matches the Rfam family "tRNA". From Rfam's summary of the family: Transfer RNA (tRNA) molecules are approximately 80 nucleotides in length. Their secondary structure includes four short double-helical elements and three loops (D, anti-codon, and T loops). Further hydrogen bonds mediate the characteristic L-shaped molecular structure. tRNAs have two regions of fundamental functional importance: the anti-codon, which is responsible for specific mRNA codon recognition, and the 3' end, to which the tRNAs corresponding amino acid is attached (by aminoacyl-tRNA synthetases). tRNAs cope with the degeneracy of the genetic code in two manners: having more than one tRNA (with a specific anti-codon) for a particular amino acid; and 'wobble' base-pairing, i.e. permitting non-standard base-pairing at the 3rd anti-codon position. The record is from Rfam by way of RNAcentral. Lineage: Eukaryota; Metazoa; Chordata; Mammalia; Rodentia; Muridae.
GGGGAUUUAGCUCAGUGGUAGAGCACUUGCCUAGCAAGCGCAAGGCCCUGGGUUCCCUCCCCAGCUCCA